Molecule: ribosomal RNA, 376 nt
Filed under: uncultured organism
Description: partial 16S ribosomal RNA
Rfam family: Bacterial small subunit ribosomal RNA
Source: RNAcentral
GGGGGGGGUCAAGCGUUUGUUCGGAAUUACUGGGCGUAAAGGGCGUGUAGGCGGUCCCGCAAGUCUUUCGUGAAAUCCCACAGCUCAACUGUGGAACUGCGAGGGAAACUGCAGGACCUGAGUCCGGGAGAGGAGAGUGGAAUUCCCAGUGUAGCGGUGAAAUGCGUAGAUAUUGGGAGGAACACCGGUGGCGAAGGCGGCUCUCUGGACCGGUACUGACGCUGAGGCGCGAAAGCUAGGGGAGCAAACGGGAUUAGAUACCCCGGGUAGCCCUAGCCUUAAACGAUGAGCACUUGGUGUGGCGGGUAUCGACCCCCUGCCCGUGCCGAAGCUAACGCAUUAAGUGCUCCGCCUGGGGAGUACGGUCGCAAGGCUG